UCUAAAAUUCAUAUCUUUUUUAUUAUUGGUCCAAAAAAUAUGGGACCAAUUGCAUUAUUUCUCUUUAAAUUUCUAGUUUCUAAAAAUGAUUUUUAAUAUUUUUUAUUUUGUCAUUUGCUAUAUUUAAAUAAUUUUCUCUUUUCUGGUUAUUUUCAAUUCAUUUUAAAUAGUUUUUGAUAUUCAAAAAAUACAAAAAUAUUUUUCUAACCUCUUUGAAUGAUGAUAGGUCUAUGAAAA
This 237-nucleotide long non-coding RNA is filed under the name Lathyrus oleraceus (garden pea). RNAcentral describes it as "Pisum sativum (pea) long non-coding RNA (PSAT_LNC009698)". Lineage: Eukaryota; Viridiplantae; Streptophyta; Magnoliopsida; Fabales; Fabaceae. The record is from RNAcentral.